CCUACGGGUGGCAGCAGUGGGAAAUAUUGCACAAUGGGCGCAAGCCUGAUGCAGCCAUGCCGCGUGUGUGAAGAAGGCCUUCGGGUUGUAAAGCACUUUCAGCGGGGAGGAAGGCGGUGAGGUUAAUAACCUCAUCGAUUGACGUUACCCGCAGAAGAAGCACCGGCUAACUCCGUGCCAGCAGCCGCGGUAAUACGGAGGGUGCAAGCGUUAAUCGGAAUUACUGGGCGUAAAGCGCACGCAGGCGGUCUGUCAAGUCGGAUGUGAAAUCCCCGGGCUCAACCUGGGAACUGCAUUCGAAACUGGCAGGCUAGAGUCUUGUAGAGGGGGGUAGAAUUCCAGGUGUAGCGGUGAAAUGCGUAGAGAUCUGGAGGAAUACCGGUGGCGAAGGCGGCCCCCUGGACAGAGACUGACGCUCAGGUGCGAAAGCGUGGGGAGCAAACAGGAUUAGAUACCCUAGUAGUC
This 465-nucleotide ribosomal RNA is filed under the name uncultured Klebsiella sp. RNAcentral's name for it is "bacterial SSU rRNA". It matches the Rfam family "Bacterial small subunit ribosomal RNA", at positions 338 to 795 of the family's 1533-position model. Lineage: Bacteria; Pseudomonadati; Pseudomonadota; Gammaproteobacteria; Enterobacterales; Enterobacteriaceae. The record is from RNAcentral.